Long non-coding RNA from Brassica napus (rape), 1592 nucleotides. RefSeq lists it as uncharacterized. The transcript is spliced from 2 exons. NCBI's taxonomy places the organism in Eukaryota, Viridiplantae, Streptophyta, Magnoliopsida, Brassicales, Brassicaceae. The record is from RefSeq and is a predicted model, not a curated record.
GAUUCUUAAUUUGGUUUUGGUAUCCAAAAUAUUUUAAAUAACUGUCCGUUCAGAUGAUUAUGAUUUUUCAUUUGAUUUUAUGUGAAGUGAUUUCGGUUCAGUUCGACUAAGGCUGGGUGUUCGGAUAUCCAUCCGUGUUUGGUCCAUGUUUAGUAUGUUGGGUAUUUCGAUUUAGGAAUUUACUACUGUUCAGAUACUUUUCAUAUUCGGAUCGGGUUUGCAUAGUGCACCAUAAAAUAUCUUUCCAAAGUUUAUCAGAGGUUUUGAAGCUUACUGGAAAGUGAAAAUCUAUUAAGAGCUUGAUUGGCAUAACAAACAUCAUGCUCAUUUUAGACCAAAUAACAUCAUGCUCAUUAUUAUCCAAUCAUUAAUUAUUAAAAAAUAAUAUUUAGAUUAACAUUUAAAAGUUGUAAAUGUUCUUCAAAUAUUUGCUCAAUGCUCUCGCAUUGAACUUUUUAUAUAGUAACAUUUAUAAUAUAUGAAAAUUAAAAAUAAUAGAGAAUGCGAUUUACCAUCAUUUAUGUAGAUUAGCGAAGACAAGAUUACAAAUGAUCUUCUGUUGUCUGAUGCAAGUAGAACCGUCAAACAUAAUUUUAUUUAGUUGUCUGAAAUUGUAAAUGUAUAACUUCCUAGCGUUAAUUUUCAUAAGAUAGUAAAAUUAGCUUUAUAAAAUCGUUAAGAGAAAUUCUUUAAUAUAGCUAUUUUUAGUUUUUUUUUUUUUUACCAAAAGAGCUCCAAAAAAUGACGAAAAGAAGUUUUAUUAAAUUGUGAAUAUACAAUUAUACGCUUAACUAAUCUAAACUUUAGAACUAAGUUUAGAGAUAAUGAAAUUUUUCGAGGUGGAUUUUGGAGGUGGGUUUAUUAUUUUUAAAAUAGAAAAUAAAAAAGUUUCAAAAACAUUUUUAAAUUUCAAAAAAAAUUAUAAAAAAUAGAAUUUAAAAACAUAUAAUAAAAAAGUUAUUUUCAUUUAUUAUUUAUUUAUAUUUGUAUAUAUAUAAAGCAAAUGGUAGAAAAAUAUUUUGUAUCUUUAAUGGAACCCCUUUUAUCAUUUUUUUUUCCAUUGGAGAUUAUUUUUGUGACAAAAACUUAAAAAUAGCUAUUUGAGAAAAUUGUCCAAUCCUUUAUGCAAUGCCUCUUAUGUAUUAUAAUAAAAAAAAUCAAUGUUUAAAAAAAAUCACUCUGGAAGCUCUUUUAGUUUAGUGAUUUGACCAAAAGUUCAUUAGACCAUCGCUAACCCACCUCUAUUUUCAUCACUAUAUUUUUUCCUUAAAUAGAAAAAUUCUAUUGGAGAAGUAGAUUUGCUCUAAUGUAUGUCUAUAUAAUAAAGUUUAUCUAUUUUUAGAGGAAAAUAUAAAGAAUUGUUAUUUCCAUCUCUAAAUAUAGAGUCAAAUAAUAAAAUUCAUGUAUAUUCCUCUAAAAUAGAGAUCUUUAUUCUCUAUUUUUGUCUAAAUUAGAGACACUCUAUUAUAUAGACAUGCAUAGAAACAAAUCCACCUUAUCAUAGAUAUCUCUAUUUUAGAGGAAAAUAGAGAGAUUGGAGAUGCUCUUAAUGCUUACAUACUAAGAAGUCUAGGGUUUAGAUCCCAAAGAAU